ACCGGGCGUGGUCGCGCGCGCCUGUAGUCCCAGCUACUCGGGAGGCUGAGGUGGGAGGAUCGCUUGAGUCCAGGAGUUCAGUGCGCUAUGCCGAUCGGGUGUCCGCACUAAGUUCGGCAUCAAUAUGGUGACCUCCCGGGAGCGGGGGACCACCAGGUUGCCUAAGGAGGGGUGAACCGGCCCAGGUCGGAAACGGAGCAGGUCAAAACUCCCGUGCUGAUCAGUAGUGGGAUCGCGCCUGUGAAUAGCCACUGCACUCCAGCCUGGGCAAUAUAGUGAGACCCUGUCUCUA
This is a non-coding RNA of Cavia porcellus (domestic guinea pig), 292 nucleotides long. It matches the Rfam family "Metazoan signal recognition particle RNA". From Rfam's summary of the family: The signal recognition particle (SRP) is a universally conserved ribonucleoprotein. The record is from Rfam. Lineage: Eukaryota; Metazoa; Chordata; Mammalia; Rodentia; Caviidae.